This 47-nucleotide non-coding RNA is filed under the name Favella ehrenbergii. Lineage: Eukaryota; Ciliophora; Spirotrichea; Tintinnida; Xystonellidae. The record is from RNAcentral.
CUAUGGAAGGCGCAUGCUCAAGGCGGGCAACAAAGCAGGCCAAAUCA